UAUUUUGAAUCCCCGCACAAUCUUUCCCUAAUCUUACUAAACCAUAUUUCUCACUUCUUCCUUCCUCAGACACAAAAAAAUCUCUCAUUCUCUCUAAAUCCUUCUCUCAUUCUUUCUCACCUAUCAAACAACCACCACCACCACCCACCCCUUUACCACAAUCAAACGAUAUAGAUGGUUGUGUCUGCGGCUCGUGGUGGUAGUCGUCAACAACCACCUUCACGCUGGUCAGAUGGAUUUGCAAAUCACGCGAUGAUGACGAUGCAGGGUUGAAGCCAAUCUAAGCGACGACUAGGGUUCAGUCGAGACUUAUUGUAGCGGCGGUGGUGGUACUGGUGUACCGAAGUAUUGUCGCCGAUCAUUUACGGCCCUGGAGGUUUUUGAUAACUCGAUCAGAAAAUAGAAGAGGAACUUGACCCGAUUGAAAUCACAUAUUUUGAUGUUCUACGAUUCCUUUUCAUCUUCGAUUGGGGUUAUUUGACGGGGUCUCAGAGGUUGGGCUGGGAUGUGGCUCAUCUAACGUCAAGGUUUGUUUUCCCCCAAUUACUAAAGUUGAAUCAACGUGGUUGCGGUUUGAGGAUGGAGAAAUCCCAUGUGAUAUUGGGGAGUUAUACAACUUACAAGAUUUGGAUCUAAGUUGUAAUGAUUUUACACGAUUACAUUUCAGCCUCUCGCGACUUACACAACUCAAAUGGUUCCGCUUGAAUGAAUGUAAUCAACUUGUAGAAUUGCCCAAGCUCCCUUCGGGUAUUGUAAUUCUUGAGCAGACUGUUGCAAGUCACUUGCAACAAUUGGAGAUUUUUAUACAAUUUGUAAAAUGGUUAUGUCAUGUAUAAUUAUGAAGGGUGUUCUAGUUGAAGGGGAGAGCUUACUAGACUUCAUGCUUUAGGUAUAUAUGGCUCUCUAUGUUUUGAAAGUCAACUAAUUGAGCUUUAUAUGUGCAUACAGUAUUAAUUAGGAUAUAAGGAAUUUGUGUUCAUUAAACAGGGAAAGACUAUUGAAAAUCAUUGUAUGCUUCUAUGUGUUGAAGACCUUGGGAUUGCGAAGGAGUUUGCAACUCCUCUUGUUAGAGGGGAAAGAUAUAGAUUGAAACUUCCAGAGAAACAAAUUUUGUGGAUUCUUAAUAUGCGCUGUUGUAACUUACUUUUCUGAUUACUAUGCUUCUGAAUUGAUGAGCAUGGAUAUUGGAUAACAUUAUGAGUAAGGGUAUGGAUUACGAAGAUAAUGUGGUUUGGGAGGAAGGUCAAAAUGAUGCAAUUACAUGUUUUUGGUAUAUUUCAUUUGCUUCUUUAAGACACACUGCAUGCAUGGUGGAAUUAGAUAUACAAAGAUGUUUUGUUUUCGACACAUUUAGGUGACUCAUGUGUAGUGGAUUUGGAGUUAGACUGGUCAAAAGGAAAAGCAGAGAUGAUCUAACAGAAACAUCACCAGCACAAGAAUAUGAAUUUUCUAAGUAUGCACCUAAGUUCAUUAUCGGAGAUGACUCAAAAUAUGGUUGGGUAUAAUCUUGAUGUUUCGGUCAGUUUGGGUCAAGUAUGGCUCAAGUCGGUUGCUCGUUAGCAGGUUGGAUUUGGGUCAGCAGAUUGGCCAACAGGAUCAAUCCCAAGCACUCUUGGGGCACCCACCAGACAAAUACAAAUGGAGUACUCCGAGAGUAACCCGGGUCCACCACCAAUUCCGAGGAAAACCUAGUAACUCACCCGCCCGUAGACACGACGAUGGAAUUACUAGUAAAACCCGUUUGGCUCAAGAAUACAACCCAGGUUUCUCUGAUUCUUCUAUCCUUGCCCACCAGUGACUUACUCUACACCAAAUGGAAGUUAAACUUACAUCUCUCAAAAGAAAUGCAAGUCUUCCACUUGAUCUAGAGAUCAUUCGACACAAUAUAACACAUUCUUUUCUUUUGCUUUCCAUAUUAGUGGUCCACAAUGUUUAUUAUCGUUUGUCUUCUAUGAUGAAUUCAUAUAUUUCUUCAUCACUUUCCGUAUUAGUGGUCCACAAUAUUCAUUAUCGUUUGUCGUCUGUGAUGAAUUCAUAUAUUUCUUCAUCACUAGUUAUUAUCGUUUGUCUUCUAUGAGGAAUUCAUAUAUUUCUUCAUCACUAGUUAAGGUUGCUACAUUUGUAUUUUUUUACCUCUAGAUAUUCAAGGGACAUUAUAUUCUCACAAAAUAUAAUAUCAAUGUAGAAGUUACAACAUGUUAUGGAAUUUUUGUUCCUUAGACC
Molecule: long non-coding RNA, 2223 nt
Organism: Helianthus annuus (common sunflower)
Lineage: Eukaryota; Viridiplantae; Streptophyta; Magnoliopsida; Asterales; Asteraceae
Exons: 4
Source: RefSeq, a predicted model, not a curated record